This 253-nucleotide ribosomal RNA is filed under the name uncultured bacterium. RNAcentral describes it as "partial 16S ribosomal RNA". It matches the Rfam family "Bacterial small subunit ribosomal RNA", at positions 524 to 776 of the family's 1533-position model. The record is from RNAcentral.
UACGUAGGGUGCGAGCGUUGUCCGGAAUUAUUGGGCGUAAAGGGCUCGUAGGCGGUUUGUCGCGUCGGGAGUGAAAACCUUGGGCUUAACUCAGGGCUUGCUUUCGAUACGGGCAGACUAGAGGUAUGCAGGGGAGAACGGAAUUCCUGGUGUAGCGGUGAAAUGCGCAGAUAUCAGGAGGAACACCGGUGGCGAAGGCGGUUCUCUGGGCCGUAACUGACGCUGAGGAGCGAAAGCAUGGGGAGCGAACAGG